UCUCACCAAACCCUUAGCAUCCCAAAAUAACCCUAGUCUUCCGUUCUUUCAUCUUAGUGACUAGGUUACCGUCGACAUUACCUCAAGUGUUUUCAAUUGUUGAGUUCGGCUGCCACAAAUACGCUCUGUGUUUUCUCUUUGCUCCUACUAAUGGUUUGAACUAAGGUAUUGUUACAAUUUUAUUUUCUCCUCUGCCCAUAGGAGAAAAGGAAGGCACAAUUCGAUUUGGGUAUUAUCUCUUUGCUCCUACUAACGAUCGUAUUCUCCAAUUUGCAAUGAAAACGAAGGCACAAUUCGAUUUGGGUAUAAUCACCGCCUACUUGAGCCCUAAUUUUCGAUUUUCGUUAUCGUACCUCUACUUUCUUCUAUGUUUUUUAUUUUGGAGUCGUGAAGGACCAACCCUACCAGAAGAGUCUGUAUUGGAUUCGAUUUUUGGUGUUGAAGGCUUAAUUUGGGGUUUUUCAACACAUGUCUAAAACAUUAGCAGAUGGAAAUCUGUCUUUGGACAAAAGAGGUAAACUUUGAACAUUUGUUUCAUUAAUCUUAUAGUUUUGAUGAUUUAUACAAUUUCAUUUUGUUCUAUGUGACUUUCUAUGUAUGAUGGUUGUCUUGUAUAAUCCUCAGGGGAAUAUUGAAGAACAUUCUCAGCUCCUUUGUGAAAUCACCCCGGUUAGUUCAUUUGAAUGAUAAUUAAAAAAAUAUAUGUUUUCAUAUGUUUUUUUUUCAUAGCUAAUAACGUAGUUCAAGUAAAUAUAUGAUAAUUAUGAUUGUUAACUCCAACAUGCAUAAAAACAAUUGCAAUUGAAAAAGUUAUUGAAUUGGUGCAUGAUGAACUUUAUGAGAAAUGAAGCAAACUUCUAUAAUAUAUCAACUGACACAUUAAGGAUCAGAGGAUGAAAUAUAUUUUGUAUUGAUUUUGAUUUCUUAAUUUUGGUUGCAGUAGCUCAAAAUGGUAAGGGUACUCCUAUCUUGAAUAUUUCUAUAACUGAUUAGUAUUAAUAUUCAAUAUUUAGUAUGAGAGGAUAUUUCAAUAACUGAUUACUAUCAAAAUGGUAUUUUAUUAAUAUUUAGUACAAAAAAAUGAUUAGUAUGUAAAUUAUUCAAUAUUUCAGUAUGAGAGGAUAUUAAGUUUUGUUCAAACAAUCGAUUUUGGUCCUUAUUUCACGCUACUAGGGACCAAAACUGAAAAAUAUUUCAAUUAUUGGCUGAUGAUUAAUCCAUUGUAGCAAUAUCUCACUUUGAUCAAAUGGUUGUAAUGGUAUACAGGCCAGCCCCCAUGCUUGGAUGGCAUUCAUCUUUUAUUUCUUUUUAUUAUUAUUAUCCAUUUAUAACAUUGUACUUACAUUAUGAAUAAAAGUACAAUGCUAUAAAUGGAUAUAUUUUUGAAAGCCCAAUAUUGUAAUACAAAAAAAAGGAAUCGAUAUAACCUCGCAGCAUAUAGCUGAAUCCUUCCAAAAAGAACAUAAAAGAAUAAUAAUAACUAUAGUUAUUUAUGUGUAUGUUCAUUUUUAUUUCUCUUUUGCUUCAGGAACAACACUUAUGGAGCCCAAGUAUCAAGAACCCACAAAGCAC
Molecule: long non-coding RNA, 1572 nt
Filed under: Lactuca sativa (garden lettuce)
Lineage: Eukaryota; Viridiplantae; Streptophyta; Magnoliopsida; Asterales; Asteraceae
Description: long non-coding RNA (LSAT_LNC000749)
Source: RNAcentral